GACCCAGUAGCGGAGGGUCCGCGCCCGCCUGUGUAGAAAAAGAAAUAUGCAAUCAUCUUUGUCCAGCGAGAGUUCCUGGUUCGACUCCAGGCUGGGUUA
This is a non-coding RNA of Mycena rosella, 99 nucleotides long. The record is from the annotation of a GenBank genome assembly. NCBI's taxonomy places the organism in Eukaryota, Fungi, Basidiomycota, Agaricomycetes, Agaricales, Mycenaceae.